AACCCUCCUCCUCUUCCUCCUCCCCGUCCCAUCUCCCUCCCUCUCUCCCUCACUGUUUCCCACCCUCUCUCUCUCUCUCUCUCUCUCACACACACACACAUAUACACACACACACACACACACUCUCUGGGAGUGAGUGGAUGAUCGCAUGAGCAGGAAGCGCUGACCGAACACAGAUAGAGAGAGAAAAAGAGAGACAGAGAGUCCGAGAGAAAGAACCCAACAUUCACAUUUUCAGCUCAUACUGAGAGAAGACAAACUACAUAGCCACUGCUGUGCUCUUUCCACACUGUUAUGUGGAAGUAAUUUUGAAAAGCAAAGCUCCUCUCCGUUACUUUGCACUGGGGACAUUGUUGUUUCUUAUUCAAAUAAAUUGGGAUAUUCCGUGUGACAUGUUGCCCUCGUUUCCACAAGAAUUGUGUCUUUCUUCUGAGUGCUGCUUGAACGUGCAGUGCUCAAGCUGUUCCCUGAUAAAGGCUGUUGCAGUUCUCAGGAGGGAAUGACUGAGCGCUAAGGAACCAGGAUUGCUUGCACGUGUGGGACAGUUGUGAAGAAGCAUUUGGAGGCAGAAGAGAGAAAACUGCUCAAGAAAACAUAAAGGAAAGAAAGAAAGCAAUAAAGAAAGAAAUAAACAUAAAAUACUGUUUUGCCGCAAAAUGGAUCUCCCUCCUUUUAGGGUGUCUAUUUCAGUCCUUCCUGGGGGUCGGAUUCAGCACAUCCGGAAUCUCAUACAGUUUAUUGUCAUUCAAUCCCACUGAGUUCCCAGAGGGGCGAGAGGGGCAGAUCCCAGGGUCCUGGUGCCUGACAACACAAGACCAGCCACAAUCAAGCCUGGCCUCUAGGAGCGUAUAUAUGCCCUCUGCGAAGCCCUCAGCCCUUACCCCCUGCGACUACCAGCUAAUCAACCCACAGUCAGCAAUUGCCAAUCUGCCACUCUAUCGGAGUCAGAGAGAGAGCAGAAAUGGAAAAUGGAUAUCUCUAAUGACAGUUAGCCUGCAGGAAGUCAGACUGGCCUUAUGGCUGGCUGCAGAAUUGCUAGAUGCUUAUCAGCAGCAGCAGGGGUCAAUGAAAGGAGACUGGAGACUUUAAAAUAGCACCACAGCAUGAUGUCAUUGGCCCACAUCCCAUCAGCCCCCAAACAAACGGAUGGCAUCAGCACCUCAUUCACCUGAAGGCC
This 1177-nucleotide long non-coding RNA is filed under the name Sinocyclocheilus grahami. RNAcentral's name for it is "lncRNA (ENSSGRG00000053593.1)". The record is from RNAcentral. Lineage: Eukaryota; Metazoa; Chordata; Actinopteri; Cypriniformes; Cyprinidae.